Molecule: ribosomal RNA, 345 nt
Filed under: uncultured Leptolinea sp.
Lineage: Bacteria; Bacillati; Chloroflexota; Anaerolineae; Anaerolineales; Anaerolineaceae
Description: bacterial SSU rRNA
Rfam family: Bacterial small subunit ribosomal RNA
Source: RNAcentral
CGGGAGCUUGCACAGGUGCUGCAUGGCUGUCGUCAGCUCGUGUCGUGAGAUGUUCGGUUAAGUCCGCUAACGAGCGCAACCCUCGCUGUGUGUUAUAUGUGUCACACGGGACUGCCGGUCUUAAGCCGGAGGAAGGUGGGGAUGAUGUCAAGUCAGCAUGGCCUUUAUAUCCUGGGCUACACACACGCUACAAUGGCCAACACAAUAGGUUGCUAAGCCGCGAGGUGGCGCCAAUCCAUAAAGUUGGUCUCAGUUCAGAUUGUAGGCUGCAACCCGCCUGCAUGAAGAUGGAGUUGCUAGUAACCGCAGGUCAGCUAUACUGCGGUGAAUACGUUCCCGGGGCUU